Molecule: ribosomal RNA, 493 nt
Filed under: uncultured bacterium
Lineage: Bacteria
Description: partial 16S ribosomal RNA
Rfam family: Bacterial small subunit ribosomal RNA
Source: RNAcentral
AGUGAACGCUGGCGGUAGGCCUAACACAUGCAAGUCGAACGGCAGCACAGUAAGAGCUUGCUCUUACGGGUGGCGAGUGGCGGACGGGUGAGGAAUACAUCGGAAUCUACUUUUUCGUGGGGGAUAACGUAGGGAAACUUACGCUAAUACCGCAUACGACCUACGGGUGAAAGCAGGGGAUCUUCGGACCUUGCGCGAUUGAAUGAGCCGAUGUCGGAUUAGCUAGUUGGCGGGGUAAAGGCCCACCAAGGCGACGAUCCGUAGCUGGUCUGAGAGGAUGAUCAGCCACCCUGGAAAUGAGACACGGUCCAGACUCCUAAGGGAGGCAGCAGUGGGGAAUAUUGGACAAUGGGCGCAAGCCUGAUCCAGCCAUACCGCGUGGGUGAAGAAGGCCUUCGGGUUGUAAAGACCUUUUGUUGGGAAAGAAAAGCAGCAGGUUAAUACCCCGCUGUUCUGACGGUACCCAAAGAAUAAGCACCGGCUAACUUCGUGC